UGAGCAAUCUGCCCUUCUCAUCGGAAUAAGCGUUGGAAACGACGUCUAAUGCCGAAUACGACCUCCUUUCGCAUGAUCGGAGGUGGAAAGCUCCGGCGGAGAAGGAUGAGCUCGCGGCCUAUCAGCUAGUUGGUGUGGGUAAUGGCCCACCAAGGCGACGACGGGUAGCCGGCCUGAGAGGGCGACCGGCCACACUGGGACUGAGACACGGCCCAGACUCCGUACGGGAGCA
This 232-nucleotide ribosomal RNA is filed under the name uncultured bacterium. Its description in RNAcentral is "partial 16S ribosomal RNA". It matches the Rfam family "Bacterial small subunit ribosomal RNA", at positions 118 to 347 of the family's 1533-position model. The record is from RNAcentral.